Portunus trituberculatus (swimming crab) is the source of this 1459-nucleotide long non-coding RNA. RefSeq lists it as uncharacterized. The record is from RefSeq and is a predicted model, not a curated record. Lineage: Eukaryota; Metazoa; Arthropoda; Malacostraca; Decapoda; Portunidae. The transcript is spliced from 4 exons.
CUGUGUGCUGCCGCCACCUGUUCCCGGUGACUCGUCUAUAGUUGCUGUAAUAUAGAGAAAAUAAGGAAGAAGUGUUUCCUUCCCCCCACUCUGUGUGACUGAGCUGAGUGAGAGUGGGUGCUAUAGCAGCAGACUGCCAGGCGUGAGAGAGCGAUCUGCCCGCCGCUCCACCCCAGCCGCGCCGCGCUACCAGGGUAAAAGUGUAAUGGGAAGAUGCAGUGAGAGGUCUGGCAGGGUAAAAAAAUGUGGAUGCAAAAGAACUGUGUAAGAAAUAUUGUCCGAAGCUGAAUAUGAAUCAAGAAUUGGGAGAGGGAACAACAGUGAUGCACUGCCAGCUAACGCAACUGAAAAAUCUACAAAGGCAACAAGUAUGAGGGAAACAAGCUUACAAGAUGUGUUGGUUGAUCCUGUCAAUGUAAUAAAUGAAAGUGAUCAAUAUGAAAAAGAAGAGGGCACAAGUGAUGUGAGUGGCAGCAAUGUCAGUGAACUGUCACUUCAGAAAAUUCAGCAGCUGGAAAAUGAGAAUAAAGAUGUGAAAAAAACAGAAUGCUGCUUUGAAAGAAAAAACAUAUCUGAUCCAUCAGUACAGGAAAGUGAAGUGCAUUGUAUCAUUUAAACAUUUUAAAACCCAUUUUCAGCAAAACAAAUUGAUGCCAUCAUAAGUAAGAAAUAUGUUAGACACUGGCCAGAUGAAGACAAGAUAUAUCAACAGCAUUAACUCUGAGAAGCAUGAGUCCCAAAUGUUAUGAAUAUCUGAUAACUAAGAAGGACAUUCCUUUGCCUUGUAAGCCAACAUUAAAUGAACGAGCCAAGAAUUUUGAUUGUGAAUCUGGCAUUCUGCCUUCUGUUUUGUCAUUUAUGAAAACUAAAGCAGAUUCUGUUAGUCCACAGGAAAAAUUAUGUGUAAUAUCACUAGAUGAAAUGAGCAUUGCAAGUGAAUGGAGUUAUGAUAUCAUAAGGUCAUUUCAGGCAGUGGCUCUGCAACUAAUGAUUUAUCCAAGAUGGCUCUCUUUUUGCCGAGAUCAUUGAAGUACACAACUCCUGUGUUUCGGGGAUUGAAGGUGGAAUAGACACCAAUCAAAUCAGGAAAGAGAUCUACCACCCCUGCAGAGUGACAGUCCAGUUGUAAUAACUGUAGGGCCCACUGUGGAGGAAGAGCUGUCUGUCGUCACUGCUCAACCAGCGAUGGUGGCCCAGCAGGUUGGGGAUCUGCAGCCACCAGCAACAGAUCAACAGGCUGCAGACCUGCAGCAACCUCCGCUGGUGAGUCCGCAGGCUUUGGCAAGACUCGCCAGCUUAAAGGCAGCUGCAGCUAAAAAACUGCAAGUAAUAGUAGCAACAAAAAAACUACUUGCGGAGCAAGAACUUGAAUACAUGGCAAUAUUAGCUGAAAUAGCAGCAUAUAUGUAGUAAAGCUUCCUAUUCAUUUAGUAUUUAUAUUGUUCAGCAGAUAAAAGGA